Molecule: ribosomal RNA, 253 nt
Filed under: uncultured bacterium
Lineage: Bacteria
Description: partial 16S ribosomal RNA
Rfam family: Bacterial small subunit ribosomal RNA
Source: RNAcentral
UACGUAGGGUGCGAGCGUUGUCCGGAAUUAUUGGGCGUAAAGAGCUCGUAGGCGGCUUGUCACGUCGGAUGUGAAAGCUCGGGGCUUAACCCCGAGUCUGCAUUCGAUACGGGCUAGCUAGAGUGUGGUAGGGGAGAUCGGAAUUCCUGGUGUAGCGGUGAAAUGCGCAGAUAUCAGGAGGAACACCGGUGGCGAAGGCGGCUUGCUGGGCCUUACCUGACGCUGAGGAGCGAAAGCGUGGGGAGCGAACAGG